RNAcentral lists this ribosomal RNA (397 nucleotides) under uncultured bacterium. RNAcentral describes it as "partial 16S ribosomal RNA". It matches the Rfam family "Bacterial small subunit ribosomal RNA", at positions 523 to 918 of the family's 1533-position model. The record is from RNAcentral.
AUACGUAGGGGGCGAGCGUUGUCCGGAAUGAUUGGGCGUAAAGGGCGCGUAGGCGGCCCGGUAAGUCUGGAGUGAAAGUCCUGUUUUUAAGAUGGGAAUUGCUUUGGAUACUGUCGGGCUUGAGUGCAGGAGAGGUAAGUGGAAUUCCCAGUGUAGCGGGGAAAUGCGUAGAGAUUGGGAGGAACACCAGUGGCGAAGGCGACUUACUGGACUGUAACUGACGCUGAGGCGCGAAAGUGUGGGGAGCAAACAGGAUUAGAUACCCUGGUAGUCCACACUGUAAACGAUGAAUACUAGGUGUAGGGGGUAUCGACUCCCUCUGUGCCGCAGUUAACACAAUAAGUAUUCCGCCUGGGGAGUACGGCCGCAAGGUUGAAACUCAAAGGAAUUGGCGGGG